This is a long non-coding RNA of Myotis lucifugus (little brown bat), 361 nucleotides long. RefSeq lists it as uncharacterized. The record is from RefSeq and is a predicted model, not a curated record. Lineage: Eukaryota; Metazoa; Chordata; Mammalia; Chiroptera; Vespertilionidae. The transcript is spliced from 4 exons.
GCAAAACUGCAGAUAAGUGAGGACUACUGUAUAAACAAAUUUUUUCAAAAGUAUAUAAAUUUGAAUUUCUUAAAGCAAUGGGAUUUGACCGAUAUAAAAUGGUGGUGCAAGUAGUUAUUGGAGAACAAAGAGGUGAAGGAGUAUUCAUGGCUGCCCGCUGUUUCUGGGAUGCUGACACUGACAACUACAUUCAUGAUGUUUUUAUGAAUGACAGUUUGUUCUGUGUUGUAGCAGCAUUUGGCUGUUUCUACUAUUGAAAAUUUGAAAGCUGGGAAAAGGUAUGACUAUGAAGAAAUAUGAACUUUUUUAUAUUGUUAAAUAUCUUGACAAAAUAAAGAUAACUUGGCAGUUUGGCAACUGA